Long non-coding RNA from Polistes dominula (European paper wasp), 279 nucleotides. Lineage: Eukaryota; Metazoa; Arthropoda; Insecta; Hymenoptera; Vespidae. The record is from RefSeq and is a predicted model, not a curated record.
CUGACGGAAGCACCGUGACGUACGAUCGACCGACCGUAUCGUAUCUCACCACCCACUGUUACGAGCAAGGAGAACCGGGCUGAGGGGAGAAUGAACGUUGUGUAAUUCAGGGACACGAUGUCACAAUUCGUCAUACUCAACGAAUUUCUGAAGUACACCAUACUGGACGGUGACAAUCAACGAUACCGAUCCGACCAGGAGAAAAUUAGUCAUCGGCAUCACCUCGAGCGUUACUUCAGACUUUCACCUGAGAUCGUCGAAGAAAUAAGAAAGAAUAAG